UACGUAGGGUCCGAGCGUUGUCCGGAAUUAUUGGGCGUAAAGGGCUCGUAGGCGGUCUGUUGCGUCGGGAGUGAAAACUUACAGCUUAACUGUGAGCGUGCUUCCGAUACGGGCAGACUUGAGGUAUUCAGGGGAGAACGGAAUUCCUGGUGUAGCGGUGAAAUGCGCAGAUAUCAGGAGGAACACCGGUGGCGAAAGCGUUCUGCUAGACCUGUACUGACACUGAGGGACGAAAGCUAGGGGAGCGAAUGGG
Molecule: ribosomal RNA, 253 nt
Filed under: uncultured bacterium
Lineage: Bacteria
Description: partial 16S ribosomal RNA
Rfam family: Bacterial small subunit ribosomal RNA
Source: RNAcentral